GGCCAGAAUAUCCCAGAGCCAGAUAAUGACCCUGUGACUUCCAUGAAAACCACCGUAGUACACUGUGUGCUUCCUGAAACAAUGCAGACACGGCUCAGUCAUGCAGACACAGAAACAUAAACAGUACCGGGACAUUUCACCAGAACCACCAGAUGACGACGACGGCUCUCCUGAACGGUACACUCCGUGCCUCUGUGAAGGCAUUGAACGUUCAAGGGCAUGACCUCAUCACUUCUCCAAAAAGAACCGCACAAAACAGUGGGCCAGUCAUUCAUCAGGAUAACACCCCAAUGUGUCAAGAGUCAAAGCAAGACAAUCUCCAGGGAAGGAGUCCAGGCCCGCAGCAGUCAACCUACGUGAUGAGGUGCCGGGAGCAGUCACAGAACAGCAUCAGCAUGGCCAACAGCUGCUUGGACUCUUCGGUGUCAUUGUUGAGGCAUUCCAAGAAGAGCUUCAACCCUCCGUGGGGCCCCAGCUCACAGAUAAACGCCCACAGUUUGGGCAGCAGGUCAUCAAGGGGAUGACCACUGUCAGGAGUUAAACGACAGGGAUUUUGACCCACGAGUGAUUGCCUACGGAAUCUAAGUACUCCCGGAAUGGAGCGCUGAGGAUCCUGGGAAACAGAAGUGCCUCUUCUCAAAGAGAAAUCCAUUGUGGAAUGCAGACGCAGCCAGCAGGUAACAGAGAAGACCACUGCUCCGAUGCCUCAAGAGGGAUGGCUGGGAACGGAUCCCUGGGAGCUCUGCUGACAUUCACGCCAUCGCUCAGCUGCUACCCAAGUCCUUGCCAAGCCUCUGCCCCGGAAACUACAUCCUAAAGGCCCCAGGAUCUAAAAGGAAUUUGAAAUUAGCUACCAAUUUUUACAAAUGAGAAAACAGCAUAAAGAAGUCCAGCAUCUCUUUAAAAAAAAUCAGGGUCCACCCCUGGCUGCAGAGUAGAGGCCGUGCCCUCUGGAUGGGCACGCCACAGACCCCACCGCUCCCUCCGAGGUCUCGCCACCACUGUGAGUUACCAUGUAUUGUGACCUACAUUAUGUUUUAUCUCAUCAAUGGCUUCUUCACUCUUUCUUUUUUUAAAAUAUAUUUUUAUUGAUUUCAGAGAGGAAGGGAGAGGGAAAGAGAGAUAGAAACAUCAAUGAUGAGAGAGAAUCACUGACCAGCUGCCUCCUGCACGCCCCCUACUAGGGAUUGAGCCCACAACCCAGGCAUAUGCCCUUGACCAGAAUUGAACCCGGGCCCCUUCAGUCCGAAGUCACUCUUUCAUCUAACCUCCCUGGCCUCCAUAUGCAUCUGAGUCCAACAAGUGCUCUUAAUAGUCGAUGAGAAAAGAUUUGUGAGGAGGUCCAGAAGCACUGGGCGUAACCCUGCAAAUCAGGCCCAAGAAGACAAAGGGCAGGAUGUGGGAGUGGCGGAGAGCUGCCCUAAGAACAGGGUGCCUUAGCAUUUAUAAAAGACCCGGCAGACAGAAAGGACGAUGUAUGUUUGCUGUUAUUAUUUUACCUCAUU
Molecule: long non-coding RNA, 1505 nt
Organism: Myotis myotis
Lineage: Eukaryota; Metazoa; Chordata; Mammalia; Chiroptera; Vespertilionidae
Exons: 6
Source: RefSeq, a predicted model, not a curated record